GACAUUACAAGUGAGGCUACCGAACGUUGGAAACAGCGGUUAGGAGCUUACACCCACCCGUGUCUACAUACUAUUGUUGCUUUGGCGGGCCGUGGCCUCCACUGCGGGCUCUGCUCGUGUGUGCCCGCCAGAGAACCAAACUCUGAAUGUUAGUGAUGUCUGAGUACUAUCUAAUAGUUAAAACUUUCAACAACGGAUCUCUUGGUUCUGGCAUCGAUGAAGAACGCAGCGAAAUGCGAUAAGUAAUGUGAAUUGCAGAAUUCAGUGAAUCAUCGAAUCUUUGAACGCACAUUGCGCCCUGUGGUAUUCCGCAGGGCAUGCCUGUUCGAGCGUCAUUUAACCACUCACGCCUAGCGUGGUAUUGGGGCACGCGGUCUCCGCGGCCCUCAAAAUUAGUGGCGGCGCCGGUGGGCUCUAAGCGUAGUACAUACUCCCGCUAUAGAGUUCCCCCGGUGGCUCGCCAGAACCCCCAAUUUUUACAGGUUGACCUCGGAUCAGGUAGGGAUACCCGCUGAACUUAAGCAUAUCAAUAAGCGGAGGAA
This 542-nucleotide ribosomal RNA is filed under the name uncultured Phialocephala. RNAcentral's name for it is "eukaryotic LSU rRNA". The stretch from base 182 to 335 matches the Rfam family "5.8S ribosomal RNA". Lineage: Eukaryota; Fungi; Ascomycota; Leotiomycetes; Helotiales. The record is from RNAcentral.